GGGGGUAAAGCUCAGUGGUAGCGUAUUUGACUGCAGAUCAAGAGGUCACAGGUUCAACUCCUGGUGCCCCCU
Molecule: transfer RNA, 72 nt
Filed under: Megalops atlanticus (tarpon)
Lineage: Eukaryota; Metazoa; Chordata; Actinopteri; Elopiformes; Megalopidae
Rfam family: tRNA
About the family: Transfer RNA (tRNA) molecules are approximately 80 nucleotides in length. Their secondary structure includes four short double-helical elements and three loops (D, anti-codon, and T loops). Further hydrogen bonds mediate the characteristic L-shaped molecular structure. tRNAs have two regions of fundamental functional importance: the anti-codon, which is responsible for specific mRNA codon recognition, and the 3' end, to which the tRNAs corresponding amino acid is attached (by aminoacyl-tRNA synthetases). tRNAs cope with the degeneracy of the genetic code in two manners: having more than one tRNA (with a specific anti-codon) for a particular amino acid; and 'wobble' base-pairing, i.e. permitting non-standard base-pairing at the 3rd anti-codon position.
Source: Rfam by way of RNAcentral